AACGAGGCCGACCUGCGGCUGAGUUACCUGCGGAGGGAUCAUUAUUAUGCGCACUAUGCGCGCUGAGGGGGUUUGGUUUUGUGGAGGUCGAGAACUCCCUUACGGGAUGAGCUCUCUCCUCGACCAGCCCUGACCUCUAUACCCAUGAUUUUUGCGUACCUAUUGUUUCCUCGGCAGGCUUGCCUGCCAGUAGGACCCUUUUAAAAACCCAUUGCAGUUGCAGUCAGCGUCAGAUAAACU
RNAcentral lists this unclassified non-coding RNA (240 nucleotides) under soil metagenome. RNAcentral describes it as "partial contains 5.8S ribosomal RNA, internal transcribed spacer 2, and large subunit ribosomal RNA". The record is from RNAcentral.